RNA transcript from Osmia bicornis bicornis, 3819 nucleotides. It is a transcript of the gene named probable tRNA (uracil-O(2)-)-methyltransferase, with no coding region annotated. The transcript has 5 exons. NCBI's taxonomy places the organism in Eukaryota, Metazoa, Arthropoda, Insecta, Hymenoptera, Megachilidae. The record is from RefSeq and is a predicted model, not a curated record.
ACAAGGAGCGAGUACGACAAAUUAUGGAAAAGGCAGUACACGACGCAGAAUGGAUCGUAAAUAAGUAUACUAAAAUGGAAGCAGAAAAAACGCUUGAAAAGUAACAGUUUUAAUAAGGUAGUUACUUUCUCGUUAAGUAGACAAGUUACAUAAUUUAUUUUUGAUUUUUUUAGUCAAGAAAAAGUUUUGGAGUAUUAUACUUAAACAAUGGAUUUCACAACCAUAGUAAGCCAAGAAUCUGGAGCUAAUGCUUCCCAGUUUUGUAAAGCAGUGAAUAUUUGGUUGCAUAAUCCUCAGAUUGUGAACCGUAAAAUUCUUGGUUCGAGCGAAAUAUUGGAUAUCGAAGUUAGUUGCGAUAUUUUGGAAUUUUUUGAACGUAUCGACGCUUUAGAUAUUUCAAUGGUAACGACAGAAGAUCAGAGAGACGAUAUCAAUAGCGCAAAAUUGUUAAACGUAUUGCGUAUCUCUGACGAAACGUCCAAUACACAGCGUAACAGGAACAUUCGAUUAUACGUGACAAAACAAUUGCCACGUAUGCCGCAUAUAUUUUCUGCCGGUAUCGAGUUUCUGCUGUUGGAAAAACAGAAAAAUUCUAUCAUAAAUAUUCAUAAACCUUUCGUUGCGGGCAAACGAUCCCUUGGACCUAGAAUGGCGUAUAUGAUACAACAAGAAGCGGACAAGUUUACGUCCCUUGGUGUAUACAAAUUACAAAACGUUAUACACGAACAAUCGAGUAUAGAAUGGUUAGAGAAGAAGCUCUUUCCAUGUAUAUUGAGAUGGAUGAGAAACGAAUCGAGAACCGCGUCGACGCUGUCUUCGUUAAGUUUCGUAUCGACUGAAAAAUAUGCCAGAUUGUAUUGUAAAUUGAAAGAGAAGCACGGUAUGAAAUUAAUAAGCAAUUGGCCGGAAAAUACAGAUCCGCUGAAAUUCGUUUACGAAGAUAUCGCUAUAGCUGCCUAUCUGCUGUUGCUCUGGGAGAAAGAGAGGACAGAGAAAGGAACGAGUGAUUUACAAUCGUUCCUCGAUCUAGGAUGUGGCAACGGUUUACUCGUGUAUAUUUUAAUCAAUGAGGGUUAUCGCGGACGAGGGAUCGAUUUACGACGGAGGAAAAUUUGGGAUUUGUAUCCGUCUGAAACACCAUUGCAGGUUUCUACCGUGAUUCCGUCCUCCACGACGGUGUACACAGGAGUCGAUUGGAUCAUUGGAAAUCAUUCGGACGAAUUGACACCAUGGAUCCCUGUAAUCGCAGCGCGAAGUUCUGCCGACUGUCGUUUCUUUUUAUUACCUUGUUGUCCGUACGAACUGAACGGCACCAAGUAUCAGAGAUGUUGCGCUUCGAAAAGUCAGUACUCGGAAUACAUUGAAUAUAUUAAAAAUCUAAGCAACGAAUGUGGUUUCGAGACGCAUCUCGACAAAUUAAGAAUCCCAUCUACUAAACGUAUCUGUUUGAUCGGUUGGAAAAGAGUAGAGGAAGAGAGAAAAACGAGAGAAGAUCGCAUUCAACGAAUAAUAAGCGCAAAGACGACACUGACGCAAACUAAAAAGCAGAAAGAGGAUGAUGUUGGUGAAUGGACGUGUGACUUUAAACCGAGAGAGACUGUAGAAAAAGUAAGAAACUGCACGCAAUUAGAUAAAACAUUAAUCAAGAAUAUUGUUGAUAUCGUUGCGAAUCAGCUACUUUACAAAGGUCGUAUCGUAUCGGUGGAUGAAACGCAGAGAAGAAGUUGGAACGCGGGUCGAUGCCUGGAGUUAUGCGAAAUCGCAAAUUCGAUACCGAAAGAAACGAUGCUACGUCUACGAAAAGAAUGCGGUGGUUUGCAAACUUUACUGAAAAAUCAUAGUGAUAUUUUUUGCGUAGCAAAAGGAAAAGUUCAGUUUAGAAUACCCGGAGCGGAACAGGAGAAUGGCGGACGACCAAAGAAAAGAAACUUUUCGACGCCACGAAAGAAAACCAAGCCCUGUUGGUUUCAUGAAAAUCAUCCGAACGGUUGUCCAACUAGUGAAACGAAAUGCAACUAUAAACAUUGAUGGUAUGAUCGGGUCAAAGUAAAAACAAUGGUUUUCGAAUAUUAAGGGAAAGAAACAACGUUCAUUCAGGUGUUCGUCCGAUACUUUAUACGUUCUAUACACCAAACGACAAUGCUUAUUACUCGAACGAACAAGGUAAGCUCGAGGACGGUAUUCAAUUAUGUAAUGAUAGUAAACGAGACUCGAGGUUUGAUUCGUUCUUACGUGUAUGUAUGUACGUACGGAUUGAUCGUAUAUACCGUGGACGUUUGCGUGAGCACGUAAUCGUAUGCGGACAGAUAUGACCGAUACGCAGCCGAUAUAUAGUAGAAGAUCUGAGGGAAACGAAACGAAGCGAAGAGCUGGAACAGGAUUUGAACCUACGACCUUUGCCAUUAUAACCAAGCCCUCUAUGAAACUUUGGUACGUACCUAAAUACCUAUCAAUGGAAUUUUAUUUUUUCUCUACUUCCUCAUUGUAAUAUCUCUUACUUUCUGAGAGAAAACAUUUUCAAAUAUCGCAAAUAGGAUUCAAAAGCCUAAUUCUUUCCCUCGUUAUGAAGGAGUUACUAGAAAAAAUUUUCACUAAACAAAGAAAGGGAUAGAUAUUAUAUUUAUAAGUAAUAAAAAGUAAACGCGACAGAAAACGGGGCGAUGUUACGUAAGGAAACGCAAUAUGUAAACCGUGUAUCGAUAGAUCGACAUUAGCUAUCGCGUUUGGUAACGUUCGAUUCACGUGGAAACGGAAACCGAUACAAAUUUGAUAAAUGGAUUAAAUUUAUCAUUGGAUCAUUGUUAUCGCUCGAAAUGUUUAAUCGAACUCACAAAUCACUGUAAAAAGAAAACUCACUGCAAAUUUGUACGAUUAAUCAUUGUACGUUCAUUUUCUCGAAGGUGAUUCUAGAAAUACAAUUUUUAUUUUUCCUUUCAUUUAAAUCUGCAAACUUGGCUAGCUAGUGAAAUACACCGGAUUUACUAUCUGUUUUAUAGUAAAUUUUAAUCGCAUCUAAAAACACGCCACGACAAUUUCAAAGAGCGUCCUUUGAGCGUCGCAAAGCAAUCUUUCCGAGAUUUCUCGAUAUUGUCCUGGUUAAACGUUUUCCUUCCUCUCAUUGAAACGUUCUUAAUCUUUCCGCUUUAUUUUUAGAACCUCUAAGAACUGCACUUCACUCGAUAAUUUCCUUGCUCUAUUUCUGAACUGUUUUUCCCUUUCAUUUUCUUCCCAUUCAAUUAUCAUUCGCCAAGAUAAUUUAUUAUUUUAACCUAUGACUUUACACGUAUAUGUAAGUAUGUAUUUAAAAACCUCUUUCCUUGUUUACACUUUCACGAGGGUAGAGAUUUCCAGUAACGAACAAUAAAAAUAAAUUUUCGCGCGCUUUCUACCGCAGGUUCUCGAUCAAUUCGAUGUAUCGAUCGCACGUGACUCGAAAAUGUCGUGCGACCAAUGAAAAUCAAGAGAAUCGCGAACGGCAUAAAUAAUGGCGGCGUCGCGGCGUGAUAGCAGUUCUUUCGAUGAAUCAGGACGAAUCAUCGGGUAGACAAGCAAUAUUCCGUCUUUUAUCGCGAAAUAUACUCUAUAAAAAACGAGUAUUCACGGUCCAAUCCAUGGGGAAAAAGUUCAACCAUUGCAAUUGCUCCAUCAAUCGACGUGAGAAUGAAUUACACUCGAUGUAGGUAUUGAGCAGAAUUCGUGUAAGUAGAAAUCGUAAUAUAUUUAAAUAGAAAAAAAAAAGUUCUACAAAAAAUAUAUAUAUGUAUUCGAAAAAAUUUGACAUUAUGCAUGACUCCUAAGAUUAAAAAAUACAUAUUUAUA